GAUGAACGCUAGCGGGAGGCCUAACACAUGCAAGCCGAGCGGUAUUGUUUCUUCGGAAAUGAGAGAGCGGCGUACGGGUGCGGAACACGUGUGCAACCUGCCUUUAUCUGGGGGAUAGCCUUUCGAAAGGAAGAUUAAUACUCCAUAACAUAUUGAUUGGCAUCAAUUAAUAUUGAAAGCUCCGGCGGAUAGAGAUGGGCACGCGCAAGAUUAGCUAGUUGGUGAGGUAACGGCUCACCAAGGCGAUGAUCUUUAGGGGGCCUGAGAGGGUGAUCCCCCACACUGGUACUGAGACACGGACCAGACUCCUACGGGAGGCAGCAGUGAGGAAUAUUGGUCAAUGGGUGCAGGCCUGAACCAGCCAUCCCGCGUGAAGGACGACUGCCCUAUGGGUUGUAAACUUCUUUUGUAUAGGGAUAAACCUACCCUCGUGAGGGUAGCUGAAGGUACUAUACGAAUAAGCACCGGCUAACUCCGUGCCAGCAGCCGCGGUAAUACGGAGGGUGCAAGCGUUAUCCGGAUUUAUUGGGUUUAAAGGGUCCGUAGGCGGACUUAUAAGUCAGUGGUGAAAGCCUGUCGCUUAACGAUAGAACUGCCAUUGAUACUGUAAGUCUUGAGUAUAUUUGAGGUAGCUGGAAUAAGUAGUGUAGCGGUGAAAUGCAUAGAUAUUACUUAGAACACCAAUUGCGAAGGCAGGUUACCAAGAUAUAACUGACGCUGAGGGACGAAAGCGUGGGGAGCGAACAGGACUAGAUACCCUGGUAGUCCACGCCGUAAACGAUGCUAACUCGUUUUUGGGCUUUAGGGUUCAGAGACCAAGCGAAAGUGAUAAGUUAGCCACCUGGGGAGUACGCUCGCAAGAGUGAAACUCAAAGGAAUUGACGGGGGCCCGCACAAGCGGUGGAUUAUGUGGUUUAAUUCGAUGAUACGCGAGGAACCUUACCAAGACUUAAAUGGGAAUUGACAGCUUUAGAAAUAGAGCUUUCUUCGGACAAUUUUCAAGGUGCUGCAUGGUUGUCGUCAGCUCGUGCCGUGAGGUGUUAGGUUAAGUCCUGCAACGAGCGCAACCCCUGUCACUAGUUGCCAUCAUUCAGUUGGGGACUCUAGUGAGACUGCCUACGCAAGUAGAGAGGAAGGUGGGGAUGACGUCAAAUCAUCACGGCCCUUACGUCUUGGGCCACACACGUAAUACAAUGGCCGGUACAGAGGGCAGCUACACAGCGAUGUGAUGCAAAUCUCGAAAGCCGGUCUCAGUUCGGAUUGGAGUCUGCAACUCGACUCUAUGAAGCUGGAAUCGCUAGUAAUCGCGCAUCAGCCAUGGCGCGGUGAAUACGUUCCCGGGCCU
Molecule: ribosomal RNA, 1345 nt
Filed under: uncultured bacterium
Lineage: Bacteria
Description: bacterial SSU rRNA
Rfam family: Bacterial small subunit ribosomal RNA
Source: RNAcentral